GGAUUAGAUACCCUGGUAGUCCACGCCGUAAACGAUGUCUACUAGCCGUUGGGAUCCUUGAGGUCUUAGUGGCGCAGCUAACGCACUAAGUAGACCGCCUGGGGAGUACGGUCGCAAGAUUAAAACUCAAAUGAAUUGACGGGGGCCCGCACAAGCGGUGGAGCAUGUGGUUUAAUUCGAAGCAACGCGAAGAACCUUACCAGGUCUUGACAUCCAGAGAAUCCUUUAGAGAUAGAGGAGUGCCUUCGGGAAUUCUGAGACAGGUGCUGCAUGGCUGUCGUCAGCUCGUGCCG
This 293-nucleotide ribosomal RNA is filed under the name uncultured bacterium. Its description in RNAcentral is "partial 16S ribosomal RNA". It matches the Rfam family "Bacterial small subunit ribosomal RNA", at positions 775 to 1067 of the family's 1533-position model. The record is from RNAcentral.